AAGGAAUAUUGGUCAAUGGACGCAAGUCUGAACCAGCCAUGCCGCGUGAAGGAUGAAGGUCCUCUGGAUUGUAAACUUCUUUUAUCUGGGACGAAAACGGGAUUUUUAUCUCAAUUGACGGUACCAGAGGAAUAAGCACCGGCUAACUCCGUGCCAGCAGCCGCGGUAAUACGGAGGGUGCGAGCGUUAUCCGGAUUUACUGGGUUUAAAGGGUGCGUAGGUGGGCUUAUAAGUCAGUGGUGAAAUCUCCGAGCUUAACUUGGGAACUGCCGUUGAUACUAUAGGUCUUGAAUUAUCUGGAGGUCAGCGGAAUAUGUCAUGUAGCGGUGAAAUGCUUAGAUAUGACACAGAACACCAAUUGCGAAGGCAGCUUACUACAUAUAAAUUGACGCUGAGGCACGAAAGCGUGGGGAUCAAACA
RNAcentral lists this ribosomal RNA (420 nucleotides) under uncultured bacterium. RNAcentral describes it as "bacterial SSU rRNA". It matches the Rfam family "Bacterial small subunit ribosomal RNA", at positions 356 to 774 of the family's 1533-position model. The record is from RNAcentral.